CUGGUCAAUAGCAGCUGAGCCAUG
Molecule: non-coding RNA, 24 nt
Filed under: Xenopus laevis (African clawed frog)
Lineage: Eukaryota; Metazoa; Chordata; Amphibia; Anura; Pipidae
Also listed under: 1 other name
Source: RNAcentral